Molecule: long non-coding RNA, 227 nt
Filed under: Physcomitrium patens
Lineage: Eukaryota; Viridiplantae; Streptophyta; Bryopsida; Funariales; Funariaceae
Description: long non-coding RNA (PPAT_LNC006037)
Source: RNAcentral
AAAAUCAAUGUCUAAAAAUCUCUUUACAAGUCUAUUCUCAAAUCUCAUUCUUUGAUUUACCAAAGAAUGUGCAAAGUCUCCAUAAGUGCAUGAUUUUGUAUCUUAGGGUAUGAUUUUAAUCCAAGUUGACAACUAGUCCUCUCCGGGUAUCAAUUCUUGGCUUUUUGAGGUAAAUUUUGCUAACAUCUACUCUUAACUUCUUUGUACAUAUGUCUAUAUUAUAUUAU